CCGCGUGCAUGCUGAGCUGUCCUGGCUCAGCUGCUUUCACACAUUGCCGAUCAGCAGCAGCAGCAGUGAAGGAGAGCUUAAGUGGACGCGCCCACCUGCUGCUGCUUGGGUCCUGUGCACAAGCUGUUCCCGCUGCCCCCAAUACUCAUCCCCUCGACUUCUAAGGGGCUGACCUCUUCACCUUCCAGCCUUGGCUCAAAUGUCACCUUCACAGUAAAGGCUACCCAUGGCUGGAUGUGUGGUUGUGCAGGCUCUGCCCCUUCCAAAGGGCCGGAAUGGAAAAAUGAACUCACUUCUGUUCUCUACUACACUAAAACAAUGCUUAGCACAUAACCAGGACCCGGCACCUAUUUGUUAAAUGAAUGAAUGAAUGAAUGACUAAAUAAAUGAAAAAAAAAAAAAAG
RNAcentral lists this non-coding RNA (404 nucleotides) under Pongo abelii (Sumatran orangutan). Lineage: Eukaryota; Metazoa; Chordata; Mammalia; Primates; Hominidae. The record is from RNAcentral.